This 85-nucleotide transfer RNA is filed under the name Kiritimatiellaceae bacterium. RNAcentral describes it as "tRNA-Leu". It matches the Rfam family "tRNA". Rfam says of the family: Transfer RNA (tRNA) molecules are approximately 80 nucleotides in length. Their secondary structure includes four short double-helical elements and three loops (D, anti-codon, and T loops). The record is from RNAcentral. Lineage: Bacteria; Pseudomonadati; Kiritimatiellota; Kiritimatiellia; Kiritimatiellales; Kiritimatiellaceae.
GCCGGAGUGGCGAAAUUGGUAGACGCAGCAGACUCAAAAUCUGCCGAGUAAUAUCGUGAGGGUUCGAGUCCCUCCCCCGGCACCA